CCUACGGGAGGCAGCAGUGGGGAAUAUUGCACAAUGGGGGAAACCCUGAUGCAGCGACGCCGCGUGAGUGAAGAAGUAUCUCGGUACGUAAAGCUCUAUCAGCAGGAAAGAAAAUGACGGUACCUGACUAAGAAGCCCCGGCUAACUACGUGCCAGCAGCCGCGGUAAUACGUAGGGGGCAAGCGGUAUCCGGAUUUACUGGGUGUAAAGGGAGCGUAGACGGCGCUGCAAGUCCGGGGUGAAAGCCCAUGGCUUAACCAUGGUACUGCUCUGGAAACUGUAGUGCUUGAGUGCGGGAGGGGCAGGCGGAAUUCCUAGUGUAGCGGUGAAAUGCGUAGAUAUUAGGAGGAACACCGGCGGCGAAGGCGGCCUACUGGACCGUAACUGACGUUGAGGCUCGAAAGCGUGGGGAGCAAACAGGAUUAGAUACCCCAGUAGUC
This 440-nucleotide ribosomal RNA is filed under the name uncultured bacterium. RNAcentral's name for it is "partial 16S ribosomal RNA". It matches the Rfam family "Bacterial small subunit ribosomal RNA", at positions 338 to 795 of the family's 1533-position model. The record is from RNAcentral.